CACCUGCAGCCAUUUCUUUCUGAUGCAGGACUCCAUGUUGGUUUGCCUAAUUAAUCAACAAUCAACAGAUCCUUCUAGAAAAGAAAGAGAAAAGAGACUGAACUUCCUUCGGUGAGACAGUCAUGAAAUAGUCUUCACUCCAUUUUCCCAGCCAAGAGAUGGAAAGAAGAUGUAAAAAGGUUGGCCACCUUUCCUCAUCCCUCAGCUCUGACUUGAUUUGUCUGCAGGACUCAGACACGGUAGGGGAGCCUACGGUAGUAAAUUCCCCCACGGAAUCCUGCCGUAUAUGGGGACUUUCUUUUCUUGCCCAUAAAAGGUAUGGAAAGCUCCCGUCAGUUUUAGCGGUUAUUGUACUGUCUCAGCGCCAGCCCCUCACUCAUGCACUGUGACAGAAAACAGUAAGAGAGGCACCAGGAAGAGAAAAUGUGUCAAAUUCCCCCAGCCUCCUAGAGAAGGAAGACUGUCACUAUUGAUAAUAGCAUGUUUUACAAUGUGAUUCAUUUGGGAAAAGUUUAAAAUGAAAAAACUCUGUGUCAGGACUAGGAAUACAAUGAUGCACACACUCCCAGCCUUCGUGGAGCUCACAGUUGGCUGAUGGAGAACAACAUUAAACAAGCAAUAACAGUAAAGUAAGAGAAAAGAGAAGAUACUGCAUCCAAGAAAAAAGAACAGACUCAAACAGAAAAGGAAUAUUCAAAAGCCAAAAUGGAAUUCUUAGAAAUUAAAAACAGCAGAAAUGAGAAACUCAACAGUAAAUCUCUCAGAAAGUCAAGCAAAAAGACAAAGAGAUAGAAAAAUUGGAGGGAAAAUAGCAAGCCAAAUUAGAAGACUAGUCCAAGAAUUCGAAUAUCUAAGUAAUAGGAGUUCCAGAGAGAGAGAGAGAAAAAAACAAAAACAAAAACAGAAAACGGAAAACAGAAAAGAGGUAAUCACAAAUGAAAUUACAGUACUCGCUCCUAAUCCGUGAAGGUACGUUCCAAGACCCCAGUGGAUGUCUGAAACCACAGAUCAUGAUCCUCCGAGAAGCAGACACCAAAACAGAAUUUGAUGUGCAAGAAAUUUACUGGGGAAAAUGCCUAUGAAAGAUAAAGGAGGAAGAAGCAGGAGUGGAUGGGGAGAGCCUUCACACAAACGAGGUGAGGCAGGUCUGACUCAUGUGAAAGGAGAGCAGGAAGGAAGAAUAUCAGCCUGCAGGGCAGUUUGGAGAAAGUCUCCUCCAGGUCCAGAAAGAACCUCCGAAGCCGCAUGGCCUGUCGGAGGAGUCCCACGUAAGUCAGGGACUGGCCGACUCCAGCGCCCCCCUGGGAUGCUUGCUGGCUGAGGGUAGGCUGGGAGAAAUGUGAAUGUCAUGGUGGAUCCAAAAGGCAGCAGCUGGAGGCUGUCGGCCAAUUGCAUUUCCCGCAGCAGGUUCUUUUGAAGGAGAUCUGAGUGGAGCACUUCCAUGGCCAGCACAGAUUUCCAGGAGCUGUCAAUUUAGGCAGGUAAACAUAUACAUCACAGCUGUAUUCCAAGCCUGUGGACUGGCCCUUUGGGGUUCUGUGUCCGUUCUGUGUUCACUCAGCCAGAGCCUGGGUUGUGGGCAGGGACCAUGGUAUGGAACAUGGCUGCUCAGACAAGGAGGGCUGUGAUGUGUGUGUAGAUAGACCUCACAGGCCCAGGAAAGCAGGGAAAUGGUUGAUAUAAUACAAUUAUGUACAAGACACAGUGGCAGGAAGGAGGGAAUUAACUAACUGCUUAUGAAGGAGAGGUCAGGGAAGGGUCCAGGAUAAAGGGACGUGGAAUUGGGUUUACCACUGGAAUUUAUCACAUACACAGGAGGUGAUGCAGUCAAAUCUGUCUCAUUGGAAACCUGGAUUCACAUCCUGGCUCUGUCACUUAUUAGCUUUUGACCUUGGGUGAGUCUCUUAACCUUUUUCAAGCCACAGUUUUUUCAUCUGUAAAACAGAGAUGAUGAUCGUAGCUAUUUUACAGAGUUAGGAUGAUGCACGUAAAUUCAUUAGCAGAGUGCCUGACCUAUGGGAAGUGACCAGUAAAUGGUAACAGUUAGUAUUCUUGUUGUUAAUAAUUCUGACAUAUCAGACAGUGGAAACAGCCUGUCCAAAGACAUGAGAGGAUGAAGGGCAGCCAGUCCGGGUUGCUGCCGGCAGUUUUCUGUGGCUGGAUCAUAUGGUGCAAGGGAAAAUGUGGGAGAAAACAGGUUGGGAAAACAGGCCCCGUGAGACGAAAAGCCUUAUGUGCUGUGUAAGAUAUUUCGGACAUCACACUAGGUUAUGAGAAGCUAUUAGAGGAUAUUGGGGGCAGGGGUCAGAUUCACAUGUUUAAAAUUUCCCUCUGGCUGCAGAGCACUCAGUGGAUCAGAGGGAGAAGAGACUGGAGGGGGAGAUAGGUUAGGAGACUUUUGCACCAAUCCAAGCACAGGAUCAAAGGACCUAAGAGAGGGAGAGGAGAAGCAGGUUUGAAAGAUCUUUAGGAGGAAGAACUGACAAGCUACGGUGACCAGCUGGGCAUGCAGGUGAGGGAGGUGUCUUGGGUGAGGAAGAUGCCUGGUUGUCUGGCUCGAGAGACUGGCUGGCUGGAGGUGCAGUGCAGCCAACAGCAACUGUAAGGCAGGAGCAAGUGAUCGUGGGAGGAUGGUGGAAACAAGAGAGUUGAGUGUGGCUGUGUUGAAUCUGAGGGGCUUCCUGGACUUCCCAGGGGGCCUAUCUGGCAGGUAGAUGGAUGAAGGGGUCUGGGGCUCAGAUGAGAGGUCUAGAGGCACUGGAGAUUGUGGCCACAGUCCAAGUGGGGGCCAGAAUAAGAAUGAUGGUAGCAGUAAAAAGAAGAGGGUCGGUGUAAGACCAUCAUCGGGGCUGUGUGGUCUAUCUGGACAACUCGUCUGCAGCCACCUUGUAAACACAUGACGGAAUGUGGGAGUAUACUCAGCCCCACUGCCUCCUAAAGCCCCUUGAAUCCACACUGAUGCCGAAAAGAUGAGCAGCCAUCUGGGAUUGCAAGAGUGAAAACCAGCUCAGACUGAAAAAGAAAAAAGGAGUCCUAUAGUUAAUCAGGCUGAGAGGACACAGGUAAAAGUGGCUGCAAAGUUGAAAGGAGACCUUGUUUCUCCCAAGGCCAUGCAGUGACUAUAAAAUGAGCGACACGACUUUCCUACCAAUGGCACCCCAGACCUGGUUUGCUAAACUCAUUUAGUACUGAAGAUACCGAAAUGCUAAGCUGCCCUCGCCUCAUGGCAGCACUUCAUCCCUCCACUUCCCCUGAUCCCACCUCAGAAAGUAAACCGUCCAAACCAGGUGCCUUCUCCCCGGCAGUCCAGUCCUCUCCGAGUCCUUCUGCCAGAACACAUACCUUAUGGAGGACAUUUCCCUCCUCCCUCUUGGCCACUGCGCCUCUAGACUGGAACAAGCCAAUAACUCUGACACAUGUGUGUGUCAGACCACAGGUUGUCCCUGUUGGUCUGUGGUUGAUUCAGUUUUAACAAUAUGCACAUCCUAAAAACAGAAGUAUUGCUGAUGACAAUAUGCUACCCAGCAGGAUCACUGGGGACCAUGGAACCCCUGGUUGGACUAAAGUGUAAGAGGAAUAACUUUAAUCAGAAAUUUGGAAUAGGAGCAGGCCUGGCCACACUUGGCUGGGAACCUGUCAGCUUGCACUCAGAGAACUGCUUCUCUUCUGGGGCCAGGUCUUAAAAGGGACACUGGCAAACGGGACCACAUUCCAGGGAGAAUGAUAGAGUGUUGAGAUAACUCAAAAUAAAACACAUGAGGCGUGCUUGUAAGAACAUGAGGAAAUUGAGUUCUUCAAGGGAAAAUGCUAGAAAACCAUCUUCUAUUAUCUAAGAGGGCAUAAAAUUUAAAAGCGAUUAAACUUGCCCAUUAAGGCCUGGAAGGAUAGGAUAGGACCAAUGAGUCCAUCCUUGGCAGGAUACAGGCCAAGGCAGACUCAAACUCAGCAGAAGGAGAAUUUCACUUGCAGUCAGAGUGGACCACAGGCAGCCUAGACUGCUGUAGGAAGCAUGGGCGCCUUAUCACAGGGGGUAUUUAAAAAGAGGCUGGACGUUGCCUUGGACCAGGCUGUCGUACAAGGAACCUAAGCCUCAUCGGGACUUUGGACUAGAUGAUCUUUCAGCCCCUCCUACUCAGAGUCUGUGUCCUGAAAGCAGUGGCAAGACAAGCCACCUAAUGCCAUCAAUGCCUGUGGCUCCCUUCUCAGGGAGGUGAGGGGCAGGUGGAGGAGGUGAGGGUGAUGGAACCAGCCCAAAGCUCUCUACUGAGGGACAUUCCUUCAUCAGAAGCAACUGUGAUACCAUAAGACUCCAGCCACCUGGCUAUGGCUGCCUGAACUAGCGGUGGGCAAGUACUAUUGCAAGAAAGCUCUAGAAAAGCAGGAAUUUGAACUGGAAGUUAUAAAGAGAGGGCUGGUGGGUUGGGGACAGAAAAAGAAACUGAAGAAAAUCCACAGAAAGUAGGCUACAAGCAAGGCCACGGGAGGCCGCAGGGGUCCUGAUGCAGCAGAGGUUGUGGGGCAGGGCAGAGUUACAGAUGUUCCAGCAGUGACACUGGGAGGAGGUGAGUGCAGUCUCCAUAGUGACAUGGAACGAAAGAGCCCCUGGGGCCAAGAUAUAGAGAGAAGGUAGACUAUUGCUGCCCUGGGGUCCUCCGGUUCUGGCUCUUGUUCCUCUUCUGCCCUUGGUGGAGCCAAGUAUGCCACUGUCCCUGGGUUCCACGAGAGUCCAGUUGUCCUUAUAGCCAGGCACACCCAUGGAAAUAUGGCCCUUACUUGAAGCAAACUGAGCGAGAUCCUGUUUCUUGAAACUCAAAGAAUUUAGAGGUCUCGGGGGGAAAGACACUGACCUCUUGGGUCUUGAAAAGAGUCUAUGCAGUGGUACAGCUAGUGACAGGCUGGUAAUCCGUAAACAACCAGAAAAUGCAAAUCCCCCUCUCAGAUAUUCAUCUCUCCACGGGCCCAUCACCCACUCCCUACAUCCUACCUGGGGUUGGCUGGGGGCCGACCAUCCCUAUUUUUCUUGUACAUCAGCUUCUCUCCUGUCAAAAUAACAGAGACUCCUGGAAUGAGAAGGCAGUGCCCCAGGUGGGCAGGGGCCCAUAAAGUAGACAGAAUACUGGAGGCUUCAGCCAGGAGUUGGAUCACAAAUAGAAUGCAGCCUCCCUCUGCGAAAGUAAGAGGCUAUCUGAGGUGAGAGAACAGCCUCAGAAUCCUCCAAUCAAUCAUGGCCUGUUCUCUAAAUGCCUGCAGCAAGAGCCAACAGCCCUGGAGGCCCGAGGCUGCGGAGGGAGGCUGGUGACCUCUCACUUGGGCCCCGGCCUUCGGCCAAACUUUGUCUGUAAGAGGACCUCAGCCUCAUCGUGAGGAUUUGUGAAAGUAUUACUUAUGAAGUCUUUUUUGACCCCUACCUUACGGAAGAGGGAUCACUUUGCCUUUGCUACUGCAGGGCAACACUUCAGAGAUGCACCCUGGGGAGCCCUGCAGGGAGUGCAGUCUACCCACGGCGCUCCGUUCCCACUGCUCACUGCCCGUACUGUUGUUAUGAUUGUUUUUUGAAUAUUGUUAUUUUUUUAACAAGUCAUUUCCCUUGAGAGGUAAGGGGCCUCAUUAUUAUUAUUUUUUUUUAGGGAAAGAUUUGCCCUGAGCCAACAUCUGUUGCCAAUCUUCUUCUUUUUUUUCCCCUCCCCAAAGCCCCAGUACAUAGCUGUGCAUCCUAGGUGUAAGUCCUUCUAGUUCUUCCAUGUGAGCUGCCACUACAGCAUGGCAACUGACAGGUGGGUGGUGUGUUUCUGCGACCUCGAAGCAGACCUGGGCUGCUGAAGCAGUGAGUGCUGAACUUUACCCACGAGGCCAUCAGAGCUGGCUCAGGGCCUCAUCUUUUUUCUUUAUCCCCAACAUUUAGCCCAGUGCCUGGUAUAGAAUGGGGCUCAGUAAAUGACUGAUGAAUGAAUAACCGUCAGAUAAAAUAACCAAAUUCAAGCUCCAUGAAUUGCUACAUUGGCUCUAUGUUCAUCCCAAAUGCCUUUUCUGGGUCCCCACCACACCCCUAGGAAAUAAGCAUCCACUUGGAAACACAGUGCAUAUUUACACAUUGCGGUUUCUAUUUACUUAGUUCCUCUUCUUGAGUUCCUCAGCGAUGUCCACUUCUCCACCAAGCUCCAGGCCCCUGGGGACAUGGACGCAUCACCAAGCUUGCUUAUUAAAGCUUCAAGGGAUAUAGUUGGAAGACAAGUCCUUAACCUUUGAGUUUUGUUAGGACAUAAAUUCUUAAAAAGGCACAAAGUAAGACCACUAAAUCGUGCCCCACUAAACAGAGAGGGGGAUGUUGAUACUAAGAUGUGAUCCCUAAGGAGGAUGAUUGCAGAAGCACGUACUUUAUAUCUGUGAGACUGGGCCCAAGGCCCAGCUCCACUACGUGCUGUUAGUGUGACCGUGGACCAGUUUCUCAACCUCUCAAAACCUUGGUUUCCUCAUCUGUAAAAGCCACAAUUUGGCACAGGCCUGCCACGGAAUAAGCUCUGAAUACAUGUUGGCUAUUGCUUGUGGUUCUCCAUAAGCUUAUAGACAGAGAAUUCAGAGAUUUUAAACAUCACCAAGUUAUCGAGUUCUUCUGCACAUGGUCAAAGGUGCUGUGAGAGGAGUGGGGGUAGAGGUGAGAAAUCCAGAGGACACACCCUCCCUUCAACCAGAAUUGCUCUGCAUGCAUCUGCGUGACUGACGGAGCUUUUAUGCAGGAUUCAGGGGAAAGGAAAAGACAGAGUUUUCACUGCCAAAAUUCAUCCAAACUGCAAACCGGUGCCAGGAUCUCCUCUUCAACAUCCUGGCCAAAUGGUUGUCCUGUCUUUUCUUAAACACUUAAAUUCUCUCUCUGAGGCCCCAAACUAAUUUGCUUAGCAAUUUUCUUACUCUUUAGAAUAUUCGGAAGCUCAAACAAAUGGCUAAACAAGUUUUAUUGCCUUGUAGAAGUCCCGCCAGACCUAUUUUAAUGAAAAGAGCAUUGUUCAAAAUUAAUUGAAGUCCAAUACUCUUGCAACGGUGCCACAAUGGUCACUGAAAAGGAUUGUCUUCCAUAGGUUAUAAAUGUCACUCAGCAAUCUUGGCCACACUGUUCAUUUGCUUAGCAAAUCCUUUUGGUUACAGUGAGCAUAAAGAUAAUUUUCAGCCUAGACCCUUGUGCAAAUUACCACAAAUUCUGAAUCAAUGGAGUUUGAAAUCAUAAGAUUUCAGUGUUGCUAUAAUGAUGUUUUCCCUUCUGCAGUUCUCGUGAUUUUUCAAAUCAUUUUCCUAGCUGAUGUCUUACUUUUGCCAGCCCCGCCGCACUGAGAGGAGAAUCAGAUAAAAUUCUACAGGUCAGCAUGCUCUGUAAACUGCAAAGCUCCGAAAAUGUUUAUAAUUAAUAAGUUAUUAGGCUCCAGAUCUGCCGACUCUGACUCACAGCCUGAUCCUUAGGCCUUGCAGCGUCUCUCGCUCUGAAGGCUGGAAGAUGACUCAGGUCAGAGCUGCCCAGCCACAGUUAGAGAAAUAUCCCGGAUUUGCACGGCUUUGUGUCUUCCAGGACAGAGGAGGACACUGGUGACUCCCAGGUGCUAAUGCAGAUGGGCACAGAAAUGAAAUGGGUGGGCAAGUGUGCAGUGCGGUCAGGGAGGGGUAACUGAAGAAGCCCUCAUCGACAAGAAAACCUGCCCUUUGGUUUACAGCUACAACUGCUCUCUGCUCUGCUUGCUGUCCUCACCCAUUUCCAUUUUCAGGAUCAUAGCCAUCUUUGAAGCCCAGGCCAACCAGCUGCUAUGCCACCUCCUUCAGGAGCCGAUUCUGAUCAUCUCAAGUUCAAGUCAUCCAUGUCUCUCCUCUGAGCUUGUCAAGGUCUUUGCCCGACUCCCCUGACCCUUCUUCCAUAUAGCCUUGUACUGCUGCUAGGAAACAAGGCUUUUCUUUCCCGGUAGUAUAAGCAAUCUGAGAGUGGGGCCAUGCAAUUUUUGUCUUACCUAGCACACUGCGUUAUGUAGAGCAGAUUGUGGCAGAUGUAGUCCCAACUACCCCUUCUCCCCUUUGUCCUUUUCAUAAGUCUUGGCUGAGUACGUGGCUGCCUAGCUAGAGUGACAUUUCCCAGAUUCCUUUGCAGCUAGGCAUGGCCCUAUGAGGCUUCUGUCAAAUGGGUAAGAGCAGAAGUGAGGUGAAAUUCCACUUUACAUUCCUAACGAGUGAGUAGCUGGUCCAUUUUGUGCUUUCCCCUUCCCGUGGGCUGGGGAGCAGAUGUAGCAGACAAGAAUUGCACCCUGGGGGUGGCAGAGCAACAAGAGGGAAGGAACUUGUGUCCCUAGGAAAGCUCCCUCUUACCUGGACAGCUCACCCCAAACACUUAGGUGAAAGACAAAUAACCUAUUUUUCUUAAGCUAUUCUAUUUCAGGAUCUCUGUAUUAAAAUUGCCUUGCCUAAUUGCUAAUCAGAGUACAGGUGCUCAAUACAAUUUUUUUGUGUGGGAAUGAAUGGAUGCAUGGAUAAACCAAGAAAUAAAUAAAAUGAAUGCAUGAAUAAGUAAAUGACCUGUCGUCAGUUGUAGUUCUGCUUUAAGCAAAACCUGUCUAAUUUUCCUAAAGGUGUCUCUGAUUUUCCCGAAAGAGAAGGAGCCAGGGAAGAGUUUGGGGAAGAGAAGGAGGACCUGUGCUUCAGAGGGCAGGUCCCUGGGAGUCCAGUGAUGGCUUUGCUACUGAUUCACUUUUUGUAUGAUGUUAGGUUACUCCCCAGGGACCUGCUAUCCGAAAAUUCAGAAAGAACUUUUCUACUGUCAGGAGUUCAAUUGAAAUAACUUGAGCUGGCAAUGUGCAUGGACUAUCAGAUAACAAUAAAGGAUGCUCAGUGAAUCUAUCCUUCUUAUGACAAUGUUCUUUAAGAAAUUCAAUGAAUUUUUUCUAAUGUGCAACCAACUGACUCUGUAAGGUGAAGCAGCAUCAUAUGGUGGAGAAAGAUAAUAUGUGCUCUACAUUCCUCAUAGGGUUACAUGUAGUGCGAAGCAAACGAGAUCAGGCGUGCAAAAGUCAACUGGUAAGCCUAGUAAUGGAUGGCUGUGUUUUAUCUGCCUGGCAACUUCCUUCCGUUAUCUAUCCAUGUGAUUCUGGCUGCUAAUCACAGUCCCCUCUCCCGGGCCCAAAUAGUGAGAAAGUGACCCAGGCCUGGCCAAUCAUAGUCUCUAAUUUUUUGGUCACAGUGAUUCAUCCAAAGAGUGAACACGUGACCCAGGUUGAGCCAUCAGAGCUCUUCCCUAGGAAGAGCUUGUAUCUCUCCGUUCUCCCUGGGUUACCGGCUGGGGUGAAGUCAGCCUAGAGCUCUUUGCAGCCCUGGGUUCUGAAUGGAGGAAGCAGAGUUCAGAGAUGGAGAGGGAGGCUCUGACUGAUGUCUGAGACCAGCUCCACUUCUGUCCUCCAGAAUUACAUGAACAAAAGAUGUUUGUGACAUAAAAAAACUCCCCCCUUCUUUUUUUUUAAAGCUGAUUUAGUAUCUUUUACCUGAAAUCAAAAUAAUCCUAAUAACAUACUGUAUACAAGUAAUAUAACACCCAAGAGAUUCAUUCAAAUGGACUUUGAGAGCUUACUUAGAGAUUCUAACCAGGGACAAUGCCACUUCAGAUUCUAACCAAGAAUGGUCAUCUUUUGUCUGGAAGAGUUAUCCUUUUGACCAACCAUGUGACAUCUAAGGGGACAUACACUUAGUGGUAAAGAUGGAAGAGGAACUCAACCAGCCAGUGAGUCUAGUCUAGCUCACCCUGGUGACCAGGGUAAUGAUAGUUUUGCUUGAAUAUUUCCAAGGAUGGGAGUGUCACCUCCUCACAAGGCAACCACCCUAUUGCUGUACGUCAUUGAGUCUUAGAAAUAAAACCAAAUCUGUCCCCUUUAGACUUUUCUUUGUUUUCCUUUUGUUCUCUGACGAUAUACAGGAUUUCAACCUGACCCCCAUCCACACUCCCAACCUUCUAAGUGGAUGGCUGUUCAGAUAUGUGAAGAGAGAUAACAUGUGUCCCUGAGUCUUUUCUUCUCUGGACUCUGAGCAACUUUGCUCAGGUGACAAAGCUGUUAAACUCUUUACCAACCUGACUUGUCUCUGUGGGUACUCGCCAAUGAGCCAAUAUCCCUCUUCAGCCAUGAUAUCCAGAACCACAGUCAGAACUGCAGCCAUGUUUGCCAGCGCAAAACCUACCACAAUGAUGACCACCCUUGAUCUGGAUCCGGACAUUGUAGACAUGAAACCUAAAUUUAUGUCUCUCUCUUUUUUUUAGUUCUUCUCAGACUGUUGACUCAUAUUGAGCUUAAAAUAAACUAAAACCACUAAUUCUUCUCUCUCAUGAAGUGCUAUUAACCUAUAUUUUGCUUUUGUGGCUUAUUCUUGAAACCAAGUGAAAGAAGUUACAUUGAUUCUGAUUUAUUCAUCGUGGUUCAUCAUUUUGUAUUUUUAAAAAUACUGAGCAUGUGCACAAAUAUGUUUUCUACAUUGCUCAGAGUUUGGUCAUUUGCAAAUUAGAUAAGCUUUCCUCUUUGACUUUAUUCAAAUCAUUGAUUGAAAUGUUGACUAGGAUUGGCCCAAGGGCAAGAAACCUGGCUUCAGAAGGCCAGGGAUUUUUUUCAGAGUGAAUGCCUUCAGCCAACUAUGAAUCCGCCCACGGGUACACCGCGCAACCCACCUUCCUCCAUCUGGUUUCCAUCAUGAGAAAUUUGUCAAACUCCUGAGCUGACCUCAUUAAUGCACUAAUGAUAAUUGUCCCUUAACAUUGGAGAAAGGCCUGGACCAACAGGCCUGGGACAGGUUCAUUUUGUGGGUAGGGGGAGAGGAGGAGCAGAAUGGGCCCUGCAGAGAGAAGAUCGGACCAGCA
Molecule: long non-coding RNA, 10861 nt
Organism: Equus asinus (donkey)
Lineage: Eukaryota; Metazoa; Chordata; Mammalia; Perissodactyla; Equidae
Source: Ensembl